GACGUAUGGGGCGAGCGUUGUUCGGAAUUAUUGGGCGUAAAGGGCGUCUAGGCGGGGAAUUAAGUUAGGUGUGAAAGCCAUGAGCUCAACUCAUGAACUGCAUCUAAAACUGGUUCUCUUGAGUUCGGGAGAGGAGAGCGGAAUUCCCGGUGUAGCGGUGAAAUGCGUAGAUAUCGGGAAGAACACCAGUGGCGAAGGCGGCUCUCUGGCCUAGAACUGACGCUGAAGCGCGAAAGCGUGGGGAGCGAACGGG
This 253-nucleotide ribosomal RNA is filed under the name uncultured bacterium. RNAcentral's name for it is "partial 16S ribosomal RNA". It matches the Rfam family "Bacterial small subunit ribosomal RNA", at positions 524 to 776 of the family's 1533-position model. The record is from RNAcentral.